RNAcentral lists this non-coding RNA (92 nucleotides) under unclassified sequences. RNAcentral describes it as "Clostridiales-2 RNA". It matches the Rfam family "Clostridiales-2 RNA". The record is from Rfam by way of RNAcentral.
UUAACAUUGGGAGUGCAGAGGGGAUUUCCCUCGCCGGUUUAGAGGGGGUGCUCAGGAUGCAUUGAUAGCUGUGGGCAUCCGUCGAAGGGGGA